UUUCCAGACUCCUACGGAGGCAGCAGUGGGGAAUAUUGCACAAUGGGGGAAACCCUGAUGCAGCGACGCCGCGUGAAGGAUGAAGUAUUUCGGUAUGUAAACUUCUAUCAGCAGGGAAGAAAAUGACGGUACCUGACUAAGAAGCCCCGGCUAACUACGUGCCAGCAGCCGCGGUAAUACGUAGGUGGCAAGCGUUGUCCGGAUUUACUGGGUGUAAAGGGCGUGCAGCCGGGAAGACAAGUCAGAUGUGAAAUCCCGCGGCUCAACCGCGGAACUGCAUUUGAAACUGUUUUUCUUGAGUACCGGAGAGGUCAUCGGAAUUCCUUGUGUAGCGGUGAAAUGCGUAGAUAUAAGGAAGAACACCAGUGGCGAAGGCGGAUGACUGGACGGCAACUGACGGUGAGGCGCGAAAGCGUGGGGAGCAAACAGGAUUAGAUACCCCAGUAU
Molecule: ribosomal RNA, 447 nt
Filed under: uncultured bacterium
Lineage: Bacteria
Description: bacterial SSU rRNA
Rfam family: Bacterial small subunit ribosomal RNA
Source: RNAcentral